CAGCCGCCACGGUAAUACGGAGGGGGCUAGCGUUGUUCGGAAUUACUGGGCGUAAAGCGCACGUAGGCGGCUUGGUAAGUUAGAGGUGAAAGCCCGGAGCUCAACUCCGGAAUUGCCUUUAAGACUGCCGAGCUAGUAGGUGAGAGAGGUAAGUGGAAUUCCGAGUGUAGAGGUGAAAUUCGUAGAUAUUCGGAAGAACACCAGUGGCGAAGGCGGCUUACUGGCUCAUUCUAGACGCUGAGGUGCGAAAGCGUGGGGAGCAAACAGGAUUAGAUACCCCUGUAGUCCCGUCUCUUAUACA
This 301-nucleotide ribosomal RNA is filed under the name uncultured bacterium. RNAcentral describes it as "partial 16S ribosomal RNA". It matches the Rfam family "Bacterial small subunit ribosomal RNA", at positions 509 to 808 of the family's 1533-position model. The record is from RNAcentral.